UUAUCAAAAAUUCAAGUGGUUCAUGUGGGAACCCAGCUCCUCUUAUUCAUGAAUUAUGGUGUAUUGUUCAUUAGGAGGAGAAGAGUCAGCCAUUGGAAAAGGAGCUAAAAAGUCAAGUAGUGCCACCAGCUCUAUGCUGACAGUGGCGGUGUAGGACUGCAGGGCAGUCUAGUAAAAAAGAUGGAGCUGUUUUCUUUUGAUUUUUAUUGAAAUUAGUUGGAUUUAUUCAAAGUUUUUAUUUGGGAAAAAAGAAAAAAACCUUCAAAAAUUUUAAUAUUUUUCUGACUUCACCUUUACCCCCCUACUUUGAAUUUUUUUAAGUUCAAUUUUAUUAUUUGUGUCUGUGUGUGCACACACACGUGUGUGAUCUCUGCUCUCUGGAGUCACUUUGGUCUGUCUGCCCUUCUGUGGGUUUCAGGAAUCAGACUCACACCAUCACGCUCCACCCUCUAAGCCAUCGAAUUGGCCUUUUUAAGUUUCCUGAGGUUUAAUUAAGUAGUUCUGAUUACAUCUUCCUCCAUUUGGUUCAUUUCCUAAAUGAUUUAUGUUUUUAAAUAUACAGUCCAUAAAUUAAAAGUAGACCAUAAUCUACCAUUUACUUUUAAAAAGUUAAAAAUCUCUUUUCUCUGAUUAUUAGGCAAAGUAUAAAGAAGUAAAAGCAAGAAAUGGACAAUUACUAAAAAUGCUUCAGGAAGGAGAAAUGAAAGAUAAGGCAGAAAUACUCCUGCAAGUCGAUGAAUCCCAAAGUAUCAAGAAUGAGCUGACAGUCCAGGUGACCUCACUGCACGCCGCAUUGGAACAAGAAAGAUCUAAAGUGAAAGUAUUACAGGCAGAAUUAGCCAAAUACCAGGUAUGUUUUAUAGUUUGAAAGUUUUCUUUAUAGUUACAUUUGGAGUAGAUACAAUGUAAGAAUAAAUGUGCUAUAUUAUUCUUAAGCAAAAAUUUAUUCACCAGAUAUAUUAAUGACUUUGUAUAAAAAGUAUUUAUCUAUGUUUAUAUGUAUGAGUUUGCGGUGGGCGGGGCUGUGGAGGCCAGGGAGUAUGCUGGAUUCUCUGAAUCUAGAGUUAGAAACACUGUGAGCCUCCUGACCUGGGCUGGAACUGAACCCAGCCCUCAGAAGAGCAGCAAGCACUCUUGGCCACUAAGCCAUCUCUCCAGCCCUGUGUUGAUGCUUCCAUUAUGGCCAGAUAAUGAACAUUUUCAAAAAUAUAAAAGUAAUUUUAGGUAUUGUGUAUAUGACAAUAACUCAAGUGAUUCGGUAGAUGCAUUGGAGCUGCGCAGACAAUCUGCACUGCUAACUAGGUGACAGGAAGGCACAUUAGAGCUGUGCAGACAUCACAACAUCACACAUUUGAUGACUUGGAUGUAGAUUCUGCUCUUUUAACUGAAAAGUGUACAGAUGGAUUCUUUGACAUUGUGUGACCUUUCACCCAGGGAUUUUAUAUCCAUUGAUGUUAUAUGCAUUCAUUAUUAUUUUGAUGACAUUUUAGAUUCUCAGCUUAAGAAGAUAACUCAGCUCUUUUUUCCUGUGUGAAGCAGUAGAGAGUAAUCAUCAGUACUUUCCUUUAAUACUGUGUCAGGUGUGUUCUUACACACUGUUGGGGAAUAUUAGUUUAAGCUGUCUCUUGUUUAUGCUGCGUUUGUUUAACUCUGUGAAGCUGUGUUACUGUGCCUUUCUAAAACACAUGUAAAUAAAGAGCUGAGCAGCCAAUAGCGAGGCAGGAGAGAGAAACAGGCGAGGCCGGCAGGCAGAGAGGAUAGACAUGAGGAGAGAUCUGGGAGAAAGAGAUAGGAGGAUCUGGGAAUGAGAGAGGAAGGAGGAGGAUUUCAGGGCCCAGCCACAGUUACACAGCUACACAGCCACACAGCCAGACACAGAGUAAGAAGGAAAGGAAAGGUACACAGGAAUAAGGAAAGAUAAGAACCCUGAGGCAAAAGAUAGAUGGGAUAAUUAAGAAAAGCUGGCAAGAAACAAGCCAAGAUGAUAAGGCCAGGCAUUCAUAAGUGAGAAUAAACUUUUGUGUGUCAUUUAUUUGGGAUCUGGGUGGUGGGCCCCCAAAGCAGAAAAGAAUAAAAAAUGAACAACUACAAUGUACUUACACAUAUACAUGUAAAUCAUCAAUGUGAAAACAUGGUAAAAAAUAAAAAAGGUUUGAAAGUCACUGGUGGCAUAGAGAAUAUAAGAAUUACCUAAUCUAGCCUGGCAUGGUGUGGUGACACACACCUUUAAUCCCAGCACUUGGGAGGCAGAGGGAGGUGUUUCUCUAUGACUUCAAAGACAGCCUCAUCAUAAUGAGAUAUUGAAAGCAGUCCUUGCAUGUCUAUUAUGUCGGGUUUUGGGUUUUGGGUUUUUGAGACAGGGUUUUUCUGUGUAGCCUUGGCUGUCCUGGAAAUCACUCUGUAGACUAGGCUGGCCUUGAACUCACAGAGAUCCACUUGUGUCUGCCCUCUGAGUGCUAAAAGGUGUGCACCACCACUGCCUAGCUAAUUUAUUUAUUUACUUAUUUUUUGUUCGAUCUCAGUGAAUUUUUCACACUGGCAGUAUCACAGACCCAAUGGUGCUUAUCCCAGCUGUCUUAUCAAGAGAUAUGAUAUGUAGCAUAAACUCUAAUUGGUGUUAAAAUAAAAACCCAGAGUCAGAUAUACGGGUUAAUGCUGAAGAUCAGAGAAGCAGAGCGGCCAGCCACUAGAGAGUUCUUUUACCUCUGCCAGUGCUCAGAUUAAAGGGCUGAUCCUGUCCUCAGAUUCCAUCUGUCUCCAUCAAAUCUGAGAUUGCAGUGAGUUUUUGUCUCCUCCCGUGUUAUAUUCCUCUUUCCACCCAACCAUAUCAUUCCUGUCUCUACAUCCCUAGUGCUGGGAUUAAAGAUGUGGAAUUGCAAGUGCUGGGAUCACCUUUGUGUGAGCUCUGUUUCUCUUUUAAACAGAUUCAAUCUUGUGUACUCACAGAGAUCCAUCUGUCUCUGCCCUCUGAGUUCUGGGAUUACAGGUGUAAACCACCACCACCUGGCCUCUAGUGGCUCAGCACUGCACUCUGAUCUUCAGGCAAGCUUUAUUUGUUAAAACACAAACAAAAUAUCACUACAUUUCUCCUUUUUUGUCAAAAAUAA
Molecule: long non-coding RNA, 3107 nt
Organism: Alexandromys fortis (reed vole)
Lineage: Eukaryota; Metazoa; Chordata; Mammalia; Rodentia; Cricetidae
Exons: 3
Source: RefSeq, a predicted model, not a curated record